RNAcentral lists this ribosomal RNA (253 nucleotides) under uncultured bacterium. RNAcentral describes it as "partial 16S ribosomal RNA". It matches the Rfam family "Bacterial small subunit ribosomal RNA", at positions 524 to 776 of the family's 1533-position model. The record is from RNAcentral.
UACAGAGGUCUCAAGCGUUGUUCGGAUUCAUUGGGCGUAAAGGGUGCGUAGGCGGCGCGGUAAGUCGGGUGUGAAAUCUUGGAGCUUAACUCCGAAACUGCAUUCGAUACUGCCGUGCUUGAGGACUGGAGAGGAGACUGGAAUUUACGGUGUAGCGGUGAAAUGCGUAGAUAUCGUAAGGAACACCCGUGGCGAAGGCGGCUCUCUGGGACGGUACUGACGCUGAGACGCGAAAGCGUGGGGAGCGAACAGG